Molecule: unclassified non-coding RNA, 219 nt
Filed under: Hevea brasiliensis (rubber tree)
Lineage: Eukaryota; Viridiplantae; Streptophyta; Magnoliopsida; Malpighiales; Euphorbiaceae
Source: RNAcentral
GGUCAUGGAAGAGGCCGUCAUUCUGGAGGACGUGGUGGUCGAGGUAAUGGUGGUCACCAAAACGGCCGGGGUGAUGGGCAAACUGUAGCCACUACAGCACAACAUGGUAGGGGCAACGGACAAACAGGUGACAGGGCCCAUUGUUACGCCUUCCCUGGGCAGUCUGAAGCGGAGACAUCGGAUGUUGUUAUCACAGCAAACGUACCGUCGUCUUCAACU